Vespula vulgaris is the source of this 4000-nucleotide RNA transcript. RefSeq lists it as uncharacterized. The transcript is spliced from 5 exons. NCBI's taxonomy places the organism in Eukaryota, Metazoa, Arthropoda, Insecta, Hymenoptera, Vespidae. The record is from RefSeq and is a predicted model, not a curated record.
ACUAACUCUGUUAUAUUAUGUACACAUACAAAUGUGUAAUACCAACUUAAAGCUCAAUAAUAGUUGAUCGAUUUUUCCGCGAGAUAACGCUACCUAUAUAUAUAUAUAUUUUUUUUUAUGAAUUAUUUGUUGCAUUAAAAAUUUAUGUUUUUAUAUAUAUAUGCAUGUGUGUGUAUUUUUUUGUACAAAUAUUUAACAAUACACAUAUAAAGAAAUGUUUUCAUCUACGAGAUAUAAAUUUUUAUAUCGAAUUCUAAUUCAAUAUCGAAUCGAUAACAAUUAAAGAAACAAAAAAAAAAUAAAAAAAUAAGAAUACAUAGAAAUAAAAGAAUAACAUAAAAACUGCCUUAUCGACAGGUAGGAAACGCAAGUGUGCCAACUUCAAGACAGUUGUUAGUCGAGUUAAAAAUCGAUGCGAAGUAACGAGAGUAUAACAAGCGAUAUCGAAUUAAUCGUGACAAAUAAUCGUUUCGUGUAUAUUAAUUUUAUCAAUAAUAUUCAAACAAAGAUGAAAAAUUCAGAAAUAAUGAAUUUUCGAAUAGAUGAUCGUAUAAAGUGUGUGCGAUAAAGUGAAAUAAGAAAAUGAAUCUAAUUAAGCAACAGAAUAAUUUCCUUUUCCUGGAUCAUCGAAAACAACGGUGUCGUUAACGAUCCAACGAUUAUAACGUAUCUCGGAUAAAAUUUUAAAACCGAUUUGUUCGGCCAAUAAUUGAUUAUAACCCGACGUGAAGACACCCCCUAUUGCUGCCAACUUCAUAGUUCUUGCUGCUUGUAUGAAUGCACGUAAUAGUGCUGUUUCAACGCCUUUAUUUUUAUAGGUUGGAUGAACACAGAGUAUGUAUAUGCGAAAAUAAGAAUCUUGUUUAAAUUUAACAUAAACAUCGGAUUGAUUCGUGACUUCGUUGAUUAGAAGUAUUAUAUCUUGUAAGGAUCGUCCUUGUUGAUCCUCGUGAUAGCAACGCCAACAACUCUUCCAGAAUUUAUACUGAGUGCUACCAAACUCGUAGUAUCCCUCAUCCAAGUUUUUAUUAAAUUCAGAUAAGAAUUGACCGAUAUUUUGUCGUUUAAAAGUUCAAUGGAUUUACACAUUGGUUCCUCGCGAAAAUAAUGAUGCUGUAAGAUGGAUAGUAUAAGAAGUGAAGGGAUAGGUGAAGAUGAUGGAAGAGGGAGAAGAAGGAAGGGGAAUAAACGAUAUAAAAAGAUAAACUCAAUUUUGUUAACUUUGUGAAACAGCGAUGAGCAAUAUUAAAUAUGUUCGGAAUAUUAAAUAUAUUAAUACGAUAUAUAAAAAUAAAUAAAGAAAUAAGUAAAAAAUGUAUUGAUCGAACGAUUUCAAUUUUUUUUUUUUACUGGGAUAAUAUUUGUUAAUUUCGAUGUAAUUCUAGAUUUUGUUUUUAGACUAUGUUGUUGUUGUUUUUUUUUUUUUUUAUUAAUAUGAAUUUUUCAAUAUCGAAAGAUACGUUCGUAAUAGAGAUUCUAUUUCUCUCUCUCUCUCUCUCUCUCUCUUUCUCUUUCUCUCUCUCUCUUUUUUUUUUUAUUUAUUCUUUUUAAUUUCGUUCUACCUUCUUCAAAGUUGUUCCCGCAGUUAUGCGUGUAAUACGAGUACAGUUGGUUGUUCUUGCUCAUCGGUGUUUCAAAAGAUCCAAAUUAAAAUAUUGAUUAUAUUUAAACUUUCUGAACUUUUAUCAAACGACAUGCUUCGUCGUAUAACGAUUCGUGGAGAUCCUGUAUUUUGCAAUUAAUUGGCGAAUCCCAUUCGAGAGGCGCGAAUACUUUCUCUUUCUUCAUGUCAAAUAUUUCAUUGUCUUUGUCGUCGUACUCGUCCAUCGUUGAAAGAGAAAAUGAUCUGUAUUUAUUACGAGGGGAAAAAAGAAGAAAAAGAAGAAAAAAAAAAGAGGAAAGAAAUGAUUUUUCUAAUAUUUCUUUCUCUGUAUUUCUUGCUCUUAAUAAAUUUGCAAAUUCAAAAGCGCGUACGUAUAAAAACAAUUCCUACGUUUUUAAGUAAUAUAAAACCUGUGAAAUUGAUUCCUAAUCGUUCGAGAGAUCCGUCGCGUACUUCAUUUCGUUAAAUUAUAAAUGAAGGAAAAAAUUAAUAUCGUGUUGUAUCAAUCCAAUCGAAGUCUAUAAAAAAUUGUCGAAAGGAAGGAAAAAAAGAGAAAAAAGAAAAAAGAAAAAAAAAGAAAGGAAGAAGAAAGAUAAAAGACAGAAAAAAGAAAUGGGCGAAUCUAUCACCCUUAAAUUGUCUUCUCGAAGAAGAUCGACUUACGUUCAUCGUUUCGACGAUAAUUUUAUCUCUCUGAAAGAUUUAAAGGAAAGAGUUAAAUAUAAGAAAGAAGUCGCAGCGAUCGUUUGGCAAAGGAUGUCGAAUGGUUAUCGAAUCAUUAGCCUCGAGGAAGAUAGAUUUAAGGAAGCAAUAAAUUUUAUACGAGUACACACUCGCAAGAGUAAAGUUUAAUAAUGUACAAAAAAAUAUUAUUUUCUAGCUAGAUCAUAACAUUUAAUUAAUUUAUCUUAUAAAGGGAUCAAAGCGUAACCCUUUUUCUUUUUUGUGUGACACAAACAAAAUUUCACGAUUGAUUCAGUACGUGUUAUAAAUGAUUUUGUCGGUCCUUAGAUUCAGCGUUAUUGCAAGGUCGAGACAUUUUUUUUUUUUAUUUAUUUUUUUUCUAUUUUCUUCUCUUUUAUUUAUUUAUUUAUUUAUUUAUUUAUUUAUUUAAGCUAAUAUGUCAGACUCCUUUUUUAUUUUUUAUUGUUGUUUCUAAAAUAAGGAUGUAAGAUAUAAAAGUUUUUGAUGACGCUCAGUAUAACGAGCUGUGUGCAAUAUGCCUAAUCCGUUUUAAUCAAUAAAUGCCGCUUUGAAUGUCUUUGAUAAUAUAGAAAGAUUUCUUCGUGGAGGAACCAAUAAGUACAGCUAUUGAUUUGUUGGACGAUUUCAUGUCGGUGACAACUUCUAUUAAAAUGAUACAAAAGAAGUUGUUGGAAAUGCAAAGCUAUUGCGCCGUUCAAGAAGGUGAAAAUAAGAUCAUAGGGGUUAUCGUUGCGUCGAUUAAUUUUAUGGGAGAUCACGUACGAAAGGAAACACGAAUAAAAGAAAAUCAAGGAGAAGCAAUCUUCAAUAUAAUGAGUCUUAGAAGUUGUGUUUUUUCUAAAGCACGUCCUUACGAGAUAUUACAAAUCGAUAAAUAUUUUCGCAUACAUUUAUUGUUAGUACAUAUGAAUCAUCGGAAAAAAGGUAUUGGAACGGCUUUAAUUAAAUGUUGCAUCGAACGAGCAAGAACUCUUUUAGUACCAGCUUGCAUAGCGGGAUUUAGUUCCGUUAUUAGUCAACAUAUGGCACGUAAAUUGGGAUUUAAUUUACUCGCCGAAGUAAUGUACAAAGAUUUUAAGGUAUUCAACGACGAAAUGCAAUGUUUCGAAUAUCCGUUCGAAGAUUCUAUCGAUCAAAAUAAAUCAUUGGCUUGUAUGGCUCUAUCGAUCGCGUUACCAAUAGAUCAUUCACAACGAUCAGCAUCGAUAAUUUCAAAGAAGGAAAAUACAAAUGAGAAAAAGAAUCGAAAAAAAUCGAAAAGAAAAUGAUGAUCCUAUCAAGGGAUGUAAAAGUAAAAUAAUUUCAAAGUAACGACGAAAUAAAGAAAAGGAAAAGCAGGACAAUAAGAAAAGGGAAAAAGAAUAAAGAAAAAGAAAAUUCCUUUUCCUUUUUUCUUUUUUUCUUUUUGCCAAGUGAAUUUUCUUUUUACUUUUUGCAUUCUUCUUUUUUAUAAUUUCAAUUUAUUUUAUUUUAUUAUGCCAAUAUAUUUCUAAAAGGAGAAAUAUAGUUGUAAAUUUAUGACUAUAUUUCAAUGUCAUCGACUAAAACCAAAUAUUAAUUUAAUUAGCGAGAUAUCUCUUUUUCUUUCCUUUUUUUUUUCGUAUGAUCUUUGGCAUACACCUCGUAAUGUUAAAAAAAAAAAAAUUGCUGAUCGCUUCUUUCGACGAGCAUGAUAAAUAGAUUUUAAUCGUC